RNAcentral lists this ribosomal RNA (253 nucleotides) under uncultured bacterium. RNAcentral describes it as "partial 16S ribosomal RNA". It matches the Rfam family "Bacterial small subunit ribosomal RNA", at positions 15 to 263 of the family's 1533-position model. The record is from RNAcentral.
GAUCAUGGCUCAGGACGAACGCUGGCGGCGUGCUUAACACAUGCAAGUCGAACGAAAAUACCAAGCUUGCUUGGUUGAUUAGUGGCGAACGGGUGAGUAACACGUGAGUAACCUGCCCCUUACUUUCCUGGAUAACUGCUCGAAAGGGUAGCUAAUACGGGAUAUUCUGGCCUUCCUGCAUGGGUUGGUUUGGAAAGGUUUUUUCUUGGUAAGGGAUGGGCUCGCGGCCUAUCAGCUUGUUGGUGGGUGAUGG